ACGUCUCUCCCUCUCCUUUUCUUCCUCUGGUUAGAGAGAGAGAGAGAGGAAUUUUUGGGGCGAGCCGCACUGCCCUCGUUUGGUACUCCUCCCAUUUGGGCGUUUCCUCAGCUCUGAGAAGUUCAACUUCUGGGACCUUCGUCAUUUCAUCUACCCCCUGUUUUUCUGUUUCGGCUGCUUCUGUUCCUCUGUGUUUGUGCUUCCCGUCGAGUAGUAAUUGCUCCUCUGCGUUUGCUCAGUGCUGUCUCUUUUGUGCGGUGGAUCUGUGUGAAACGUCGAGGCCAUUUGGCCCCGAAUGUAGUUUUUUACCGAGUCGAAACCGCUAGUGGAUCGACAACUGUUGCUGCUUGUGUCAACUCAUAGAGCCACUGGACACCUCUUCUACAAACCAUUUAGCAACUUUGUGGCUGGACUCAGUUGUCUAUCACUCAUUUGUUCGUUAUAUUAUUGAAGGUUUAAGAUUUCGGCAAUUGCAAGAAUGUUGGAUCUCAAGCCUCUCUCUCCACCUCAAUAACUCUACGCAGCUCUUGGUUAUGCCAUCCAGUUGGUAUUUCUUCAUCUGUUCUCACUAAAAAUUGAUUACUAGAUACAAAUUUUUCCUUGUGAGAUUUGUGAGGAAGGUAAUGAGCAUCUGGAAAUUGUCCCUAAGGAGAACUAUGAUGAGGUUUAUGGUUAUUGCUGGUUAAGCAUGGAAAGUUUUUUUGUUUUUUUUAUCAAUAGCUCAUUUAUGAGUGAUAACUACUUCGGGCAAUGUCUUAUACACUUUCUCAAGUAUUAAUAUUAGUUUCUCAAGUUGUUUCUUCUGUCAAA
This is a long non-coding RNA of Rhododendron vialii, 810 nucleotides long. RefSeq lists it as uncharacterized. The record is from RefSeq and is a predicted model, not a curated record. Lineage: Eukaryota; Viridiplantae; Streptophyta; Magnoliopsida; Ericales; Ericaceae. The transcript has 3 exons.